UACGUAGGUGGCAAGCGUUGUCCGGAUUUAUUGGGCGUAAAGCGCGCGUAGGCGGCAAGAUUAGUCUGAUGUGAAAGCCCCCGGCUCAACAGGGGAGGGUCAUUGGAAACUGUCUUGCUUGAGUGCAGAAGAGGAGAGUGGAAUUCCAUGUGUAGCGGUGAAAUGCGCAGAGAUAUGGAGGAACACCAGUGGCGAAGGCGGCUCUCUGGUCUGCAACCGACGCUGAUGUGCGAAAGCGUGGGGAUCAAACAGG
RNAcentral lists this ribosomal RNA (253 nucleotides) under uncultured bacterium. RNAcentral's name for it is "partial 16S ribosomal RNA". It matches the Rfam family "Bacterial small subunit ribosomal RNA", at positions 524 to 776 of the family's 1533-position model. The record is from RNAcentral.